RNAcentral lists this long non-coding RNA (1268 nucleotides) under Cottoperca gobio. RNAcentral's name for it is "lncRNA (ENSCGOG00000004484.1)". The stretch from base 391 to 471 matches the Rfam family "let-7 microRNA precursor family". The record is from RNAcentral. Lineage: Eukaryota; Metazoa; Chordata; Actinopteri; Perciformes; Bovichtidae.
GCCCACCCAAACUUGAAAACCUAGCUACGCCCCUGAUGUAACUCGUGUUGAACUUCUUGCUCUAACGGCGUCUUUGGUUCUUUGAUGGCAUCUUCUUUUUUCUCUUAACAGAAAUUAAGAGAAUGUUGCCGCACGAGGCCAAUGAUUCACCAAUGAAUUCAUACGUUGUGAUAAGAAAACGUUGCUGCAUUUACACCCCGAAACAGCAGGGGGAAGUAAGCUGCGCCAACAACCCGAGACGACGAAGCAGUGAUGAUGGAGCAGCGUCUCGACAUGGCAGACAGUCCGAGGUCUCAGCAGUCUGCCCGUGUCAGAAGAUCUGAAUCCAGCUGGUGGUCGUCCCUGAUCCCUGGUCUUCACUUUUACUGCAGCUACAUCUUUGUUUGUACAAUGGGAUGAGGUAGUAGGUUGUAUAGUUUUAGGGUCACACCCGCACUGGGAGAUAACUAUUCAACCUACUGUCUUUCUCAAAGUGCCAAACACACGUCUCAGUGGACCCUCCAUUUCUUCUGGAGGCCACUUUUCCGUCAGUGUUUGCAUGGACCAAGAUGUCUUCAAAAAAAGCAGUUGCUCACACAGUGUGAGGUAGUAGAUUGUAUAGUUGUAGGGUAGUGAUUUUGCCCUGUUUGGGAGAUAACUAUACAAUUUAUUGCCUUCCUUGAGGAGUGGCAUUUCUUCUGUUUUAUUUAUAUUGAAUGAGCUCAUCAAAGAGCCUUAUGGACCACUAGACCCUCUGACUACAAGUUUUUAGUCACUUAUUCCAGUCAUGACCAAAAAUCCUUGUAUGAAACAUGUACUUUGUAGAUUAAUAAAGGUCACAAGGUAUGUUACAGCAUGUCAUUGCUUGUAUUGACUUUAUUAUAAAGUUUUUAAAUGUCCGGAUAAUAAGUAAAUAACUUAUUUCAUUUGACAUUUGUGUAAAUCCUCUGUUGACUAUCCCCCAUAUCUGCAAAAACCUACCGUAUAGUGAUGGUGUAUGUGAUAAAGUGCAGGCUGGAGAGCUGACAAAAAGUCUCCGACUAGGAAAAUGUUUUAAUAGAUGUAUGAUAUCACUGCCCAGCGAGUACGAGUAGAUCUCACGAUAAUUACAUUUGUGUGUUUAUUAAAUGAAGGUGUUGCUUAGAUGUAUUCUUAUGGAAUAUAAGAUACUUUAUUAAUGCUCUAGGGGAAAUGAUGACGUGUUGGAGUCUUAUUAUUUCUGCUGCAACCCCGGCAGUGUGAAACAGACUUGCAAGCAAAUAAAACAACAUAAUUCAAAGCAGUAAGCA